Molecule: non-coding RNA, 133 nt
Filed under: Foraminifera environmental sample
Lineage: Eukaryota; Foraminifera
Source: RNAcentral
AGAAAGACAACAAACAAACGAAAGUAAUGUAUAAAUAAGAACGAAAAGAAGCUAAUCACUCAUGUUUGCAUGCUGCAACUCGACAAACUUGAGUUUGCUUUGUUUAUCUUGCAUGAUCAUGUCUUGCUGUUUA